UGAUGCACAUAUUAUGGUCGGGAGUAGUGUUGGACCUGAUUGGAUAAGAGCAGCACUGCAAACUAGUUUGUACUUUAGUUCAAGUAGCUUGAAAUGAAAAUGGAAGUGUAAUAUGAUUAAAGGUGAACUGGGGUACAGGGAUCUCGGCCGUCGUGGAAGGUCACUGAUACAAAGAUGGAUGGAGAUCUUAGUUUAUUGAGGGCGAGAAAUGAAUCCAAGACCAAAACAGUAGGAUGCGAGAUCUCGCAAGUCUCAGCUGAUAUUAUAGAAAUUAAGAUUCUCUGAGAUCUUGAUUAUUAUAAUUAGCACAUAUUACUUCUGUAUUUAGCAAUUGAUUUGAAUAAUUAAUAAACAAAAGAUUAUUUCAAAUUCCUAAGAGGUAGAUUAGGAAAUAUCAGCCAAUAUUUUGAUAUCAUCUCAGCCUAUAUAUCGAGC
This 435-nucleotide long non-coding RNA is filed under the name Phoenix dactylifera (date palm). Its description in RNAcentral is "long non-coding RNA (PDAC_LNC000229)". The record is from RNAcentral. Lineage: Eukaryota; Viridiplantae; Streptophyta; Magnoliopsida; Arecales; Arecaceae.